GCGGAGACGCAUUUAGUUUCCGUUCACUCCUCACACCACAUUCCGCCUGGACUACUGUUCAGGCGGUU
RNAcentral lists this small RNA (68 nucleotides) under Oscillatoriales cyanobacterium USR001. RNAcentral describes it as "Cyanobacterial functional RNA 1". It matches the Rfam family "Cyanobacterial functional RNA 1". The record is from Rfam by way of RNAcentral. Lineage: Bacteria; Bacillati; Cyanobacteriota; Cyanophyceae; Oscillatoriales.